CGGAGUGUAGCUCAGCCUGGUAGAGCACUGCCUUCGGGAGGGCAGGGGUCGCAAGUUCGAUUCUUGUCACUCCGACCA
RNAcentral lists this transfer RNA (78 nucleotides) under Legionella qingyii. RNAcentral's name for it is "Legionella sp. km488 tRNA-Pro". It matches the Rfam family "tRNA". Rfam says of the family: Transfer RNA (tRNA) molecules are approximately 80 nucleotides in length. Lineage: Bacteria; Pseudomonadati; Pseudomonadota; Gammaproteobacteria; Legionellales; Legionellaceae. The record is from RNAcentral.